CCCGUACGUGGUCGCUAGCCUUUACCGUGUAAAGCCCCUUCGACGAGUCGAGUUGUUUGGGAAUGCAGCUCUAAAUGGGAGGUAAAUUUCUUCUAAAGCUAAAUACUGGCCAGAGACCGAUAGCGCACAAGUAGAGUGAUCGAAAGAUGAAAAGCACUUUGGAAAGAGAGUUAAAAAGCACGUGAAAUUGUUGAAAGGGAAGCGCUUGCAGCCAGACUUGCCUGUAGUUGCUCAUCCGGGUUUCUACCCGGUGCACUCUUCUAUAGGCAGGCCAGCAUCAGUUUGGGCGGUUGGAUAAAGGUCUCUGUCAUGUACCUCCUUUCGGGGAGAACUUAUAGGGGAGACGACAUGCAACCAGCCCGGACUGAGGUCCGCGCAUCUGCUAGGAUGCUGGCGUAAUGGCUGUAAGCGGCCCGUCUUGAAACACGGACCAAGGAGUCUAACAUCUAUGCGAGUGUUUGGGUGUCAAGCCCGAACGCGUAAUGAAAGUGAACGGAGGUGGGAACCUUUCGGGGUGCACCAUCGACCGAUCCUGAUGUCUUCGGAUGGAUUUGAGUAAGAGCAUAGCUGUUGGGACCCGAAAGAUGGUGAACUAUGCUUGAAUAGGGUGAAGCCAGAGGAAACUCUGGUGGAGGCUCGCAGCGGUUCUGACGUGCAAAUCGAUCGUCAAAUUUGGGCAUAGGGGCGAAAGACUAAUCGAACAUCUGG
RNAcentral lists this ribosomal RNA (708 nucleotides) under Ectophoma multirostrata. RNAcentral's name for it is "partial large subunit ribosomal RNA". It matches the Rfam family "Eukaryotic large subunit ribosomal RNA", at positions 220 to 947 of the family's 3401-position model. Lineage: Eukaryota; Fungi; Ascomycota; Dothideomycetes; Pleosporales; Didymellaceae. The record is from RNAcentral.